CUAAAUACUCUCUAGUGACCGAUAGUGAACCAGUACCGUGAGGGAAAGGUGAAAAGCACCCCGGAAGGGGAGUGAAAUAGAACCUGAAACCGUGUGCUUACAAGUAGUCAGAGCCCGUUAAUGGGUGAUGGCGUGCCUUUUGUAGAAUGAACCGGCGAGUUACGAUUUGAUGCAAGGUUAAGCAGUAAAUGUGGAGCCGUAGCGAAAGCGAGUCUGAAUAGGGCGUUUAGUAUUUGGUCGUAGACCCGAAACCAGGUGAUCUACCCUUGGUCAGGUUGAAGUUCAGGUAACACUGAAUGGAGGACCGAACCGACUUACGUUGAAAAGUGAGCGGAUGAACUGAGGGUAGCGGAGAAAUUCCAAUCGAACCUGGAGAUAGCUGGUUCUCUCCGAAAUAGCUUUAGGGCUAGCCUCAAGUGAUGAUUAUUGGAGGUAGAGCACUGUUUGGACGAGGGGCCCCUCUCGGGUUACCGAAUUCAGACAAACUCCGAAUGCCAAUUAAUUUAACUUGGGAGUCAGAACAUGGGUGAUAAGGUCCGUGUUCGAAAGGGAAACAGCCCAGACCACCAGCUAAGGUCCCAAAAUAUAUGUUAAGUGGAAAAGGAUGUGGCGUUGCCCAGACAACUAGGAUGUUGGCUUAGAAGCAGCCAUCAUUUAAAGAGUGCGUAAUAGCUCACUAGUCGAGUGACACUGCGCCGAAAAUGUACCGGGGCUAAACAUAUUACCGAAGCUGUGGAUUGUCCUUUGGACAAUGGUAGGAGAGCGUUCUAAGGGCGUUGAAGCAUGAUCGUAAGGACAUGUGGAGCGCUUAGAAGUGAGAAUGCCGGUGUGAGUAGCGAAAGACGGGUGAGAAUCCCGUCCACCGAUUGACUAAGGUUUCCAGAGGAAGGCUCGUCCGCUCUGGGUUAGUCGGGUCCUAAGCUGAGGCCGACAGGCGUAGGCGAUGGAUAACAGGUUGAUAUUCCUGUACCACCUAUAAUCGUUUUAAUCGAUGGGGGGACGCAGUAGGAUAGGCGAAGCGUGCGAUUGGAUUGCACGUCUAAGCAGUAAGGCUGAGUAUUAGGCAAAUCCGGUACUCGUUAAGGCUGAGCUGUGAUGGGGAGAAGACAUUGUGUCUUCGAGUCGUUGAUUUCACACUGCCGAGAAAAGCCUCUAGAUAGAAAAUAGGUGCCCGUACCGCAAACCGACACAGGUAGUCAAGAUGAGAAUUCUAAGGUGAGCGAGCGAACUCUCGUUAAGGAACUCGGCAAAAUGACCCCGUAACUUCGGGAGAAGGGGUGCUCUUUAGGGUUAACGCCCAGAAGAGCCGCAGUGAAUAGGCCCAAGCGACUGUUUAUCAAAAACACAGGUCUCUGCUAAACCGUAAGGUGAUGUAUAGGGGCUGACGCCUGCCCGGUGCUGGAAGGUUAAGAGGAGUGGUUAGCUUCUGCGAAGCUACGAAUCGAAGCCCCAGUAAACGGCGGCCGUAACUAUAACGGUCCUAAGGUAGCGAAAUUCCUUGUCGGGUAAGUUCCGACCCGCACGAAAGGCGUAACGAUUUGGGCACUGUCUCAACGAGAGACUCGGUGAAAUCAUAGUACCUGUGAAGAUGCAGGUUACCCGCGACAGGACGGAAAGACCCCGUGGAGCUUUACUGUAGCCUGAUAUUGAAAUUCGGCACAGCUUGUACAGGAUAGGUAGGAGCCUUUGAAACGUGAGCGCUAGCUUACGUGGAGGCGCUGGUGGGAUACUACCCUAGCUGUGUUGGCUUUCUAACCCGCACCACUUAUCGUGGUGGGAGACAGUGUCAGGCGGGCAGUUUGACUGGGGCGGUCGCCUCCUAAAAGGUAACGGAGGCGCUCAAAGGUUCCCUCAGAAUGGUUGGAAAUCAUUCAUAGAGUGUAAAGGCAUAAGGGAGCUUGACUGCGAGACCUACAAGUCGAGCAGGGUCGAAAGACGGACUUAGUGAUCCGGUGGUUCCGCAUGGAAGGGCCAUCGCUCAACGGAUAAAAGCUACCCCGGGGAUAACAGGCUUAUCUCCCCCAAGAGUUCACAUCGACGGGGAGGUUUGGCACCUCGAUGUCGGCUCAUCGCAUCCUGGGGCUGUAGUCGGUCCCAAGGGUUGGGCUGUUCGCCCAUUAAAGCGGUACGCGAGCUGGGUUCAGAACGUCGUGAGACAGUUCGGUCCCUAUCCGUCGUGGGCGUAGGAAAUUUGAGAGGAGCUGUCCUUAGUACGAGAGGACCGGGAUGGACAUACCUCUGGUGUACCAGUUGUCGUGCCAACGGCAUAGCUGGGUAGCUAUGUGUGGACGGGAUAAGUGCUGAAAGCAUCUAAGCAUGAAGCCCCCCUCAAGAUGAGAUUUCCCAACUUCGGUUAU
Molecule: ribosomal RNA, 2357 nt
Filed under: human metagenome
Description: bacterial LSU rRNA
Rfam family: Bacterial large subunit ribosomal RNA
Source: RNAcentral